Molecule: transfer RNA, 63 nt
Filed under: Neoglyphea inopinata
Lineage: Eukaryota; Metazoa; Arthropoda; Malacostraca; Decapoda; Glypheidae
Description: tRNA-Arg
Source: RNAcentral
AAUUAGAAAGCGAAUAUUUGCAUUUAGUUUCGACCUAAACCUUGGCUUUAAUACCUCUAAUUU